RNAcentral lists this ribosomal RNA (491 nucleotides) under uncultured bacterium. RNAcentral describes it as "bacterial SSU rRNA". It matches the Rfam family "Bacterial small subunit ribosomal RNA", at positions 29 to 498 of the family's 1533-position model. The record is from RNAcentral.
AACGAACGCUGGCGGCGUGCCUAACACAUGCAAGUCGAGCGCGAAAGCCUUCGGGUGAGUAGAGCGGCGCACGGGUGAGUAACACGUGGGUAAUCUGCCCUCAGGUCUGGGAUAACUCGGGGAAACUCGAGCUAAUACCGGAUAAGACCGCGCAACGAGAGUUGUGUGGGAAAAGUAGGGGACCUCUUCGGAGGCCUUACACCAGAGGAUGAGCCCGCGGCCCAUCAGCUAGUUGGCGGGGUAACGGCCCACCAAGGCGAAGACGGGUAGCUGGUCUGAGAGGAUGAUCAGCCACACUGGAACUGAGACACGGUCCAGACUCCUACGGGAGGCAGCAGUGGGGAAUCUUGCGCAAUGGGCGAAAGCCUGACGCAGCAACGCCGCGUGAGUGAUGAAGGUCUUCGGAUCGUAAAGCUCUGUCGGCAGGAACGAUGGAUAUCGUGGCUAACAUCCACGGCAUCUGACGGUACCCUGCAAAGGAAGCACCGGGA